GAUGAAGAACGCAGCGAAAUGCGAUAAGUAGUGUGAAUUGCAGAAUUCAGUGAAUCAUCGAAUCUUUGAACGCACAUUGCGCCCCUUGGUAUUCCAUGGGGCAUGCCUGUUCGAGCGUCAUUUGUACCUUCAAGCUUUGCUUGGUGUUGGGUGUUUGUCCCGAGGGACUCGCCUUAAAGUAAUUGGCAGCCAGUGUUUGGUUUUGAAGCUCAGCACAAGUCGCGAUUCAAGGCUACACGCCCGCUUCCACAAGCCUUUUUUCACUUUUGACCUCGGAUCAGGUAGGGAUACCCGCUGAACUUAAGCAUAUCAAUAAGCGGAGGA
RNAcentral lists this unclassified non-coding RNA (324 nucleotides) under soil metagenome. RNAcentral's name for it is "partial contains 5.8S ribosomal RNA, internal transcribed spacer 2, and large subunit ribosomal RNA". The stretch from base 1 to 120 matches the Rfam family "5.8S ribosomal RNA", at positions 35 to 154 of the family's 154-position model. The record is from RNAcentral.